This 437-nucleotide ribosomal RNA is filed under the name fungal sp. tuti-20. Its description in RNAcentral is "eukaryotic LSU rRNA". The stretch from base 126 to 279 matches the Rfam family "5.8S ribosomal RNA". The record is from RNAcentral. Lineage: Eukaryota; Fungi.
UUUGCCUGCCAUCUCUUACCCAUGUCUUUUGAGUACCUUACGUUUCCUCGGCGGGUCCGCCCGCCGACUGGACAAUUUAAACCACUUGCAGUUGCAAUCAGCGUCUGAAAAAACUUAAUAGUUACAACUUUCAACAACGGAUCUCUUGGUUCUGGCAUCGAUGAAGAACGCAGCGAAAUGCGAUAAGUAGUGUGAAUUGCAGAAUUCAGUGAAUCAUCGAAUCUUUGAACGCACAUUGCGCCCCUUGGUAUUCCAUGGGGCAUGCCUGUUCGAGCGUCAUUUGUACCUUCAAGCCUUGCUUGGUGUUGGGUGUUUGUCUCGCCUCUGCGCGUAGACUCGCCUCAAAACAAUUGGCAGCCGGCGUAUUGAUUUCGGAGCGCAGUACAUCUCGCGCUUUGCACUCAGAACGACGACGUCCAAAAGUACAUUUUUACACU